RNAcentral lists this long non-coding RNA (771 nucleotides) under Parus major (Great Tit). RNAcentral's name for it is "lncRNA (ENSPMJG00000017015.1)". Lineage: Eukaryota; Metazoa; Chordata; Aves; Passeriformes; Paridae. The record is from RNAcentral.
CAUUGUAGCUUUGCCUGGAACAGCAUAUAAUCUGCUGGCAUUUUGAAUCUGCAGGAGAAAACCAGAAUGUUUCCACCGUCAAAGGUCUCUUGGAGUUGUUGAAAGAAGGCUGGAACAGUCCUGGUUUUUGGACUUGCUUUUCUUAAGGUAAUUUUACAAAAAUGCCUGUAGAAUGCUCAGAAGCUCACCAGCUUUAUGAAGAAGACCUUCAGACUUUCCAGAACUCAAAAGUUCCUCUCAGUGCCAAUUACAAGAUUGGAAAGAGGUUUCCAUUUAGUUGAUUUUGGAAAGCGUGAAGUGUUUGAGAGGAUUAGAGACAGCAGAAGAAGAGGAAUUCAGACUAUGUAUUGAGUAAGGGAUGUUGACUGUGGAGGGAGAUUUUGGAGCUUGUUGUGUUUAUAGACAAUUACAUGGCAGAGUUCAUUUGAAUGCUCUGGGGUUCAUAAACUUGUGUAGCCUGGAAGGCAGGGCCCAUUGGAAGGAUUCAGAAUUUCAGUGCAAAUGAUUUACCCAGCUGUUAAGAUAACACUUAAAGAGUUAGUGGUAAGAUAAUUUUUUUUUUUUUAAAGGUCUAAUUUAAAUUGACAAACACAUUGGAAACUGCAGAUGGGCUCAAGCUGAAAAGUAGAGUGUGUGAAGUCUUUCCAAGUUCAGGCAGGUUGGGAUCCAGACCUUUUCCUACUGCUCUGGUUUUCGGCUGCUUUUAAAUUCCUCUUUGGUUCUUUUUGACUUCUUGUGUAAAUCUAAGACGGUGGGAACAUCUGGUUACAA